AUGUACCACGCGCACACUCCGGUUCCUGCGCGCCGUCCGCACCCACCUGAGGACUGCUCGCUACGUUUUGUUAGCC
RNAcentral lists this small RNA (76 nucleotides) under Xanthomonas fragariae. RNAcentral describes it as "sX9 sRNA". It matches the Rfam family "Xanthomonas sRNA sX9". The record is from RNAcentral. Lineage: Bacteria; Pseudomonadati; Pseudomonadota; Gammaproteobacteria; Lysobacterales; Lysobacteraceae.